Molecule: ribosomal RNA, 208 nt
Filed under: uncultured bacterium
Lineage: Bacteria
Description: partial 16S ribosomal RNA
Rfam family: Bacterial small subunit ribosomal RNA
Source: RNAcentral
UGCGUAGACGGGAAUACAAGUUAGUUGUGAAAUCCCUCGGCUUAACUGAGGAACUGCAACUAAAACUAUAUUUCUUGAGUGUUGGAGAGGAAAGCGGAAUUCCUAGUGUAGCGGUGAAAUGCGUAGAUAUUAGGAGGAACACCAGUGGCGAAGGCGGCUUUCUGGACAAUAACUGACGUUGAGGCACGAAAGUGUGGGGAGCAAACAG